UACGGAGGAUCCAAGCGUUAUCCGGAUUUAUUGGGUUUAAAGGGUGCGUAGGCGGCUUAUUAAGUCAGGGGUGAAAGACGGUGGCUCAACCAUCGCAGUGCCCUUGAUACUGAUGAGCUUGAAUACACUAGAGGUAGGCGGAAUGUGACAAGUAGCGGUGAAAUGCAUAGAUAUGUCACAGAACACCGAUUGCGAAGG
RNAcentral lists this ribosomal RNA (198 nucleotides) under uncultured Pedobacter sp. RNAcentral's name for it is "partial 16S ribosomal RNA". It matches the Rfam family "Bacterial small subunit ribosomal RNA", at positions 524 to 721 of the family's 1533-position model. The record is from RNAcentral. Lineage: Bacteria; Pseudomonadati; Bacteroidota; Sphingobacteriia; Sphingobacteriales; Sphingobacteriaceae.